AGUAUAUCUUCGCCAGCUUCAGAGUCAAGGGUGCCGAGUCUGUCCUGUCUGUGGGUGCAGUCUAUAGAAUUCCUAACACUGAUGUGUCCGAAUUCAACUUAAACCUUAGAAACUAAUACAGUACAGCAUUUGCCUUUUUUUUCUCUUAAUAAUAAUGCUUUCAGAUUUGUGAAUUGAGCAUGACAAGCUAUAAGAAUACUUUGGAGGAGUUUUGAGCAACCCUUAAGCUGCACAGGAUACUUACAAGAACUUACAAGAGCAAUAUAAUUAGAAUAUCUGCCCCGUCAGCAUAUUGUCCUGUUUAGAUGGUAUUUAUGGUAACGAUUUGGACCAUCUUACAUAUAUUGAUGUAAUGGACAGUUACAAAGCAGAAUUUGGACAAACUGGAAAAGGUUUUGUAGUAAUUUUUAAGAUGGUAUACCAUUAACUCACAAAGAUACAAGCAGAAGAAGAAUGAAUGUUUGGCUGAAAAAGCAGGUAAACAAAGGGAAUAUCAUUUUAGAUCAAGAGAGCAGUAACUCUACCAGCAAAAGCAGUAGAGUUAGGUUACCAGCAAAAGCAGUAGAGUUAGGUUACCAGCAAAAGCAGUAGAGUUAGGUUACCAGCAAAAGCAGUAGAGUUAGGUUACCAGCAAAAGCAGUAGAGUUAGGUUACCAGCAAAAGCAGUAGAGUUAGGUUACCAGCAAAAGCAGUAGAGUUAGGUUACCAGCAAAAGCAGUAGUUAGGUUACCAGCAAAAGCAGUAGAGUUAGGUUACCAGCAAAAGCAGUAGAGUUAGGUUACCAGCAAAAGCAGUAGAGUUAGGUUACCAGCAAAAGCAGUAGAGUUAGGUUACCAGCAAAAGCAGUAGAGUUAGGUUACCAGCAAAAGCAGUAGAGUUAGGUUACCAGCAAAAGCAGUAGAGUUAGGUUACCAGCAAAAGCAGGAGAGGAGAGAGGAACAACCACAGAAGUGACCAGGAUGAGAGCCAAGCAUUGGUCUCCUGAAGACACACAAAGCGGUGAAAACUGAGAGAUCAGAAGUUGGAGUUCCUGAAAAUUGGUAUAAAACCAAGUACUGUAUAUGUCACUCAAGAAUAGAUAUAGCAAAGAACAGGGAUAACAGAAAGAGAGA
Non-coding RNA from Procambarus clarkii (red swamp crayfish), 1112 nucleotides. The record is from RefSeq and is a predicted model, not a curated record. Lineage: Eukaryota; Metazoa; Arthropoda; Malacostraca; Decapoda; Cambaridae.